CCCUAUUAUUAAGAUGAAAAUAGGGAGUAAGUUACGCUGAAAACAAUUCAGGGUGGCGGUUUUCUUAAUUCUCAGAUGAGUGUGUUUUUUAAAAACGAAAUUGCACGAACAUCUUUCUUACUUUUGAAUAUUCAUCCUGUACACCGCCGUCUGAAGGGUCAAUCCCCAAAGUUAACCCCAUUUCUUUUUCAGAAAUAAGUCAGGUUAGGUGCAGACUAUAGGUAAGAUAAAAUGCAUUCCUUUAAAAUGUUCAAAAGGAAAGUUGAAAAUGUUUCUUAAGGAGAAUUUGAUAGUAAGGUUUUUUUAUUAUAAAAAUCUGAAUUAACAACAAGAAAAUGUACACAUCGCCCGUCGCUC
This 357-nucleotide ribosomal RNA is filed under the name Columbicola mckeani. RNAcentral's name for it is "partial 12S ribosomal RNA". Lineage: Eukaryota; Metazoa; Arthropoda; Insecta; Psocodea; Philopteridae. The record is from RNAcentral.